AUGGCGGAGCGGCUGCACCCGAUCCCAUUCCGAACUCGGCCGUGAAACGCUCCAGCGCCAAUGGUACUUCGUCUCAAGACGCGGGAGAGUAGGUC
RNAcentral lists this ribosomal RNA (95 nucleotides) under Brucella abortus. The record is from RNAcentral. Lineage: Bacteria; Pseudomonadati; Pseudomonadota; Alphaproteobacteria; Hyphomicrobiales; Brucellaceae.